Molecule: long non-coding RNA, 410 nt
Organism: Paramisgurnus dabryanus
Lineage: Eukaryota; Metazoa; Chordata; Actinopteri; Cypriniformes; Cobitidae
Source: RefSeq, a predicted model, not a curated record
UUGUAGUUUUUGAGUCAAUUGCAUACUGCUUUUAGCUGUACACAUUGAUUAACUUAAACAGUUUUCGUAAAUGCAUUUCAGAGAAAAGUGAAUUCUGAGAUUUGAAUAAUGCAUCUGACGUGUGGGAUGACGUCACGACGCACGUAUUUUGAUUUUUACCAGUCGUUCAAGGCGGACGGAUUCAGUCCCAAGAAGCUAAAGUUUUUCAAAGACAUUUGUAGGGAGGACUUUGCAGCUAAUGAUUUCCUUAGGCUGAACCAAAACCUGCCAGACUAAAGUUGAUUUGGGAGAGAAAGACGUUGAAAACUCAAUCAUCUUGACAUUCUUCAAUGAGUAAUUGUUCAAUUUUUAGGCAAAUACUGUACACUUUGAAUGCUGUGAAUAAAACUAUAUUUUAAAUAUAUUUAAAA